UACGUAGGGUGCGAGCGUUAAUCGGAAUUACUGGGCGUAAAGCGUGCGCAGGCGGUUCGUUGUGUCGGCGGUGAAAGCCCCGGGCUUAACCUGGGAAUGGCCGUUGAAACUGGCGAACUGGAGUGUGGCAGAGGGGGGUGGAAUUCCGCGUGUAGCGGUGAAAUGCGUAGAGAUGCGGAGGAACACCGAUGGCGAAGGCAGCCCCCUGGGCUAACACUGACGCUCAUGCACGAAAGCGUGGGGAGCAAACAGG
This 253-nucleotide ribosomal RNA is filed under the name uncultured bacterium. RNAcentral's name for it is "partial 16S ribosomal RNA". It matches the Rfam family "Bacterial small subunit ribosomal RNA", at positions 524 to 776 of the family's 1533-position model. The record is from RNAcentral.